RNAcentral lists this non-coding RNA (31 nucleotides) under Homo sapiens (human). The record is from RNAcentral. Lineage: Eukaryota; Metazoa; Chordata; Mammalia; Primates; Hominidae.
UAUAGUAACAAAAUUGCCUGGCUGGAGCCCC